AGUUGAGAUAGUGGUAGUUGAAGCAACUUAAAUUUGUUAAUCAUAUGUAAAUUUUUGUUGAUUUUCUGUUGUUGGAAUUUCCUGCCUAAAGAAUGUCUUUAUCUCAGAACCUCAAUAAAAGGGAUGGCAAAAGGCCAGAGCACUGGGUAGUCUUCCCCCUAGAGGUGGACUCCCACCUGGCUCCCCAUUUUCCCAAAUUAACUCUUUUCUAGCCUCUCUGCAUUUUGUGUGCGGCCUUCUCCAGAACGCGGACUCUGAAGUAGAAUCCUGAACCAGGCGGGUCGUGUUAAGAGAUCCCACAGUCACCUGGUUGAUGGCACUUGGGAGCUCCCCCGGAAAUGCGGUCCAUCCUCCCCAUCCCAGAGCUGCCUGUAUCGUGGAAAGAUGAACAGCCCUGUUGCAGAAAUUGGAGCCCUUUGCAUACCUCCCGCCUGCAUUACCUGCAAACUGCCCAAUGUGUCAUACCCUUUUGCCUACUUCCCCAUGUAAUCCUCAUCCUUCUCCCAAUAUAAGCAGCUGGCUUAUGGCAGGGGUAGAGCAGAUGUUUGUGGAUGACCUGCUGCUCUCCCAUACUGUCAGCAGAACUGGAAUAAAUGCUCACAUAUGAUUCAACCCUGUCUCUGCUUAAUUGGCUCAAGCAGUGACAGGUAGUGAAGACCCAUUGAUUGCCCAGUUAUAAUAAUAUGAAGUAACAUGUUUAUUCAACUAUUUCAUUAAUUUAAUUUCUAGUUAAACUAUCAUAAAGGAAAAAAUAAGGGAAAUGUACAGAAUUUGUGCUGCUGUGAGGACAGGGACAAAUGAUGAGCACAUCGCCCAUGCCUCUCCG
Long non-coding RNA from Pipistrellus kuhlii (Kuhl's pipistrelle), 826 nucleotides. RefSeq lists it as uncharacterized. The record is from RefSeq and is a predicted model, not a curated record. The transcript is spliced from 2 exons. NCBI's taxonomy places the organism in Eukaryota, Metazoa, Chordata, Mammalia, Chiroptera, Vespertilionidae.